CCUACGGGAGGCAGCAGUGGGGGAUAUUGCACAAUGGGGGAAACCCUGAUGCAGCGACGCCGCGUGGGCGAAGAAGUAUUUCGGUAUGUAAAGCCCUAUCAGCAGGGAAGAAGAAAUGACGGUACCUGAGUAAGAAGCACCGGCUAAAUACGUGCCAGCAGCCGCGGUAAUACGUAUGGUGCAAGCGUUAUCCGGAUUUACUGGGUGUAAGGGGAGCGCAGGCGGCACGGCAAGCCUGAUGUGAAAGCCCGCGGCCCAACCGCGGGACUGCAUUGGGAACUACCGGGCUGGAGUGCCGGAGAGGUAGGCGGAAUUCCUAGUGUAGCGGUGAAAUGCGUAGAUAUUAGGAGGAACACCAGUGGCGAAGGCGGCCUGCUGGACGGUGACUGACGCUGAGGCUCGAAAGCGUGGGGAGCAAACAGGAUUAGAUACCCUUGUAGUC
This 442-nucleotide ribosomal RNA is filed under the name uncultured bacterium. RNAcentral's name for it is "partial 16S ribosomal RNA". It matches the Rfam family "Bacterial small subunit ribosomal RNA", at positions 338 to 795 of the family's 1533-position model. The record is from RNAcentral.